RNAcentral lists this ribosomal RNA (447 nucleotides) under Triticum aestivum (bread wheat). Its description in RNAcentral is "partial small subunit ribosomal RNA". Lineage: Eukaryota; Viridiplantae; Streptophyta; Magnoliopsida; Poales; Poaceae. The record is from RNAcentral.
CAUCAACAGUUCUACUUAGGAGAUGUUGUCUAUGCACGUCGGCUUGGUGUUCUUCCACGCUUCAGGAAUAUCAGGUACCAUUUGAAUGAGUUUGCUAGUAGGAACUAUCCUAGGACUCCACAGUAGUUGUUUAAUCUCAGAUACUCCAGCCUUAGAGUUACUGUUGAGAGGGCAUUUGAAGCUCUGAAGAGCAUGUCUAAGAUCCUAAAUCAGAAGCCAUUCCACACUUUCCCCACACAGGUUAAGAUUGUGCUUGCUUGUUGCAUUUUGCAUAACUAGAUCCUGCAAUGUGGUUGUGAUGAAGUGCGUGAGGAGGAAGAUGUGACACCUGAUGAUGUUGUUAGCUCUGGCCAUGGUGUGGAGGCAAUUGACAACGGAGCCUGAAAGAACAAAAGGAUGGAGUGGGCACAUGCAAUCUGGGAUAACAGAGGUCGGACAAGGAUCUGA